Molecule: long non-coding RNA, 491 nt
Filed under: Marmota monax (woodchuck)
Lineage: Eukaryota; Metazoa; Chordata; Mammalia; Rodentia; Sciuridae
Source: RNAcentral
AGGUGGAUUUGGGCAGAGAACGUGGAUUUCCCCAGAAUGUGAUUGUAGACGGCUGGUGUGAGUUCGGGAAUAAAGAGUUGCUGUUUGAAUCUACAAGCUGUGUGGUGGCUCGUGAUUGUGUGCCCAGCCAGACUGCGGCAUUUGUGCCCAGCCAGACUGUGGCAUUUGGUGGCCCGUACGGGGAAAUCCUACCAGCAUCUUCAAGAGAUACUAUAGCAUUAACUACAUACUGACUAUCAGAAAAUAAAUUAAAUACAGAAUCUUUAAACAUCAAAAAAGCUUGUAAAACUGCAUUAAGCUCUACCUUUUGAGCUGAUUGUUUGGGUACUAAAAAUGUAAAAGUUCGAUCUGGGGUAACUACUGCUGCUGUACCAUUAUUAGACCCAUCAGUGAAUAUAUUUGGAGCAUUCAUGAUAGGUGUUUUUCUUGUCAUUUUAGGAAAAACUACAGGAUGCUUAGACCAAAAAGACAACAAAGGAUUAGAUGGUAAA